GUCAAAGUCAAAAUAGAACGUUAACCACACUUUAUUUUUCACUUUCCCCAUUGGAAUUUCAAAAUUUUCCGUGAAAAUUCAGUAAAACUAAGAAAAUGGUAUUAUCUGAGGGAGUAAAGCAACGUCUGUCUAUUGUAAUUGAGUUUGGAAAGACGGUUUUUCAUUAUGCCUUCAUCCCUACAGUUCUGUAUUUAGGUUUUAAAAAGGGAGCUGACCCCGGUAUGCCCGAGAUAUCCGUAACAAACUUGCUAUGGUGAAGAAUACGAAAACGAAUAAGUUAGGAACCUCAUUAGUAUGAAGAGAAGAGAGCCAGACCUUUGUAUUUUACGUUAUUAUUUAAUGCAAUAACCUUUAUUUAUAAAAAUAUACAACAUUUAACACUUA
Sitophilus oryzae (rice weevil) is the source of this 384-nucleotide long non-coding RNA. RefSeq lists it as uncharacterized. The transcript has 3 exons. NCBI's taxonomy places the organism in Eukaryota, Metazoa, Arthropoda, Insecta, Coleoptera, Curculionidae. The record is from RefSeq and is a predicted model, not a curated record.